UGAAUACGAGACGCUACGGCGUCGAAGCAGUCUAUGUCAUACUUCCAAGAAAAGCUCGCAAUGUCAUAAACAAAUAAUGCCUGUACCAUAACCGACACAGGUGGGUAGGUAGAGUAUACUAAGGGGCGCGAGAUAACUCUCUCUAAGGAACUCGGCAAAAUGACUCCGUAACUUCGGGAGAAGGAGUGCCUUAUUUAUAAGGUUGCAAUAACAAGAUCCAAGCAACUGUUUAUCAAAAACACAGGUCUCCGCUAAGUCGUAAGACGAUGUAUGGGGGCUGACGCCUGCCCAGUGCCAGAAGGUUAAAGAAGUUGAUUAGCAUUCGCGAAGCUGAUAACUGAAGCCCUGGUGAACGGCGGCCGUAACAAUAACGGUCCUACGGUAGCGAAAUUCCUUGUCGGGUAAGUUCCGACCCGCACGAAAGGCGUAAUGAUUUGGAUACUGUCUCGGAGAGGGGCUCGGUGAAAUAGACUUGUCUGUGAAGAUGCGGACUACCUGCACCUGGACAGAAAGACCCUAUGAAGCUUUACUGUAACUUGAAAUUGAAAUUGGACUUUAUUUGCGCAGCAUAGGUGGGAGGCGUUGAGAGUAUUCUUGCGGGAAUAUUGGAGCCAUCAGUGAGAUACCACUCUUGUAAUGUUAGAUUUCUAACUUUGGAUCAUUAUCUGGUCAAAGAACAGUUUCAGGCGGGCAGUUUGACUGGGGCGGUCGCCUCCCAAAUGGUAACGGAGGCGUACAAAGGUUUCCUCUGAACGGGUAGAAAUCGUAUCUAGAGUGUAAAGGCAUAAGGAAGCUUGACUGUGAGACCUACAAGUCGAGCAGGGACGAAAGUCGGUCUUAGUGAUCUGACGGUGCUGAGUGGAAAGGCCGUCACUCAACGGAUAAAAGUUACUCUAGGAUAACAGGCUGAUCUCCCCCAAGAGUUCACAUCGACGGGGAGGUUUGGCACCUCGAUGUCGGCUCAUCGCAUCCUGGGGCGGUAGUACGUCCCAAGGGUUGGGCUGUUCGCCCAUGAAAGCGGUACGCGAGCUGGGUUCAGAACGUCGUGAGACAGUUCGGUCCAUAUCCGGUGUAGGCGUUAGAAUAUUGAGAGGAGCCUUCUUUAGUACGAGAGGACCGAGAAGGACAUACCUCUGGUGUACCAGUUAUCGUGCCAACGGUAAACGCUGGGUAGCUAUGUAUGGAGAGGAUAACCGCUGAAAGCAUCUAAGUGGGAAGCCCACCUCAAGAUAAGUAUUCUCAUC
Molecule: ribosomal RNA, 1244 nt
Filed under: metagenome
Description: bacterial LSU rRNA
Rfam family: Bacterial large subunit ribosomal RNA
Source: RNAcentral